Molecule: ribosomal RNA, 478 nt
Filed under: uncultured bacterium
Lineage: Bacteria
Description: partial 16S ribosomal RNA
Rfam family: Bacterial small subunit ribosomal RNA
Source: RNAcentral
GAUGAACGCUGGCGGCGUGCUUAACACAUGCAAGUCGAACGGGAAACCUUUUAUUGAAGCUUCGGCAGAUUUAGCUGGUUUCUAGUGGCGGACGGGUGAGUAACGCGUGGGUAACCUGCCUUAUACAGGGGGAUAACAACCAGAAAUGGUUGCUAAUACCGCAUAAGCGCACAGGACCGCAUGGUCCGGUGUGAAAAACUCCGGUGGUAUAAGAUGGACCCGCGUUGGAUUAGCUAGUUGGCAGGGUAACGGCCUACAAAGGCGACGAUCCAUAGCCGGCCUGAGAGGGUGAACGGCCACAUUGGGACUGAGACACGGCCCAGACUCCUACGGGAGGCAGCAGUGGGGAAUAUUGCACAAUGGGGGAAGCCCUGAUGCAGCGACGCCGCGUGAAGGAAGAAGUAUCUCGGUAUGUAAACUUCUAUCAGCAGGGAAGAUAGUGACGGUACCUGACUAAGAAGCCCCGGCUAACUACGUG